UUAAGUGACUAAGCGUACAAGGUGGAUGCCUUGGCAAUCAGAGGCGAAGAAGGACGUGCUAAUCUGCGAAAAGCUUGGAUGAGUCGAUAAGAGGCGUUUAAUCCAAGAUAUCCGAAUGGGGAAACCCAGUAGAUGAAGAAUCUACUAUCAACAAGUGAAUACAUAGCUUGUUGAGGCAAACCGGGAGAACUGAAACAUCUAAGUACCCCGAGGAAAAGAAAUCAACCGAGAUUUCGUCAGUAGCGGCGAGCGAAAGCGAAAGAGCCAGUAAGUGAUAACAGUAUGGUUAGGAGAAUGUGUUGGGAAGCACAAUCAAAGAGGGUGAUAAUCCCGUAUCUAAAAACUAUAUUGUGGUACUAAGCUAACGAGAAGUAGGGCGGGACACGUGAUAUCCUGUUUGAAGAAGGGGGGACCAUCCUCCAAGGCUAAAUACUCCUGAUUGACCGAUAGUGAACCAGUACUGUGAAGGAAAGGCGAAAAGAACCCCGGUGAGGGGAGUGAAAUAGAACCUGAAACCUUGUACGUACAAGCAGUGGGAGCCCGAAAGGGUGACUGCGUACCUUUUGUAUAAUGGGUCAGCGACUUAUAUUUUGUAGCGAGGUUAACCGAAUAGGGGAGCCGAAGGGAAACCGAGUCUUAACUGGGCGACUAGUUGCAAGGUAUAGACCCGAAACCCGGUGAUCUAGCCAUGGGCAGGUUGAAGGUUGGGUAACACUAACUGGAGGACCGAACCGACUAAUGUUGAAAAAUUAGCGGAUGACUUGUGGCUGGGGGUGAAAGGCCAAUCAAACCGGGAGAUAGCUGGUUCUCCCCGAAAUCUAUUUAGGUAGAGCCUUGAGGUGACACCUUUGGGGGUAGAGCACUGUUUCGGCUAGGGGUCCAUCCCGGAUUACCAACCCGAUGCAAACUACGAAUACCAAAGAGUGAUACUCAGGAGACACACGGCGGGUGCUAACGUCCGUCGUGGAGAGGGAAACAACCCAGACCGCCAGCUAAGGUCCCCAAGUCUAUAUUAAGUGGGAAACGAAGUGGGAAGGCUUAGACAGCUAGGAUGUUGGCUUAGAAGCAGCCAUCAUUUAAAGAAAGCGUAAUAGCUCACUAGUCGAGUCGGCCUGCGCGGAAGAUGUAACGGGGCUGAAAUAUAGCACCGAAGCUGCGGCAUCAGGCGUAAGUCUGUUGGGUAGGGGAGCGUUCUGUAAGCGGAUGAAGGUUAAUCGAGAGGUUAGCUGGACGUAUCAGAAGUGCGAAUGCUGACAUAAGUAACGAUAAAACGGGUGAAAAACCCGUUCGCCGGAAGACCAAGGGUUCCUGUCCAACGUUAAUCGGGGCAGGGUGAGUCGGCCCCUAAGGCGAGGCUGAAAAGCGUAGUCGAUGGGAAACAGGUUAAUAUUCCUGUACUUGGUAAAGCUGCGAUGUGGGGACGGAGUAGGUUAGGUUAUCGCACUGUUGGAUAUGUGCGUUUAAGUUGGUAGGUGGGAAGUUUAGGCAAAUCCGGACUUCUAUUAAACACUGAGAGAUGAUGACGAGGCUCUAAGGAGCUGAAGUAACUGAUACCACACUUCCAGGAAAAGCCACUAAGCGACAGGCUUUACUAAACCGUACUGAAAACCGACACAGGUGGUCAGGUAGAGAAUACUCAGGCGCUUGAGAGAACUCGGGUGAAGGAACUAGGCAAAAUAGCACCGUAACUUCGGGAGAAGGUGCGCCGGCGUAGAUUGUAAGGGCUAGCCCCUGAAGGUUGAACCGGUCGAAGAUACCAGCUGGCUGCAACUGUUUAUUAAAAACACAGCACUCUGCAAACACGAAAGUGGAGGUAUAGGGUGUGAUGCCUGCCCGGUGCUGGAAGGUUAAUUGAUGGUGUAAUCGCAAGAGAAGCACCUGAUCGAAGCCCCAGUAAACGGCGGCCGUAACUAUAACGGUCCUAAGGUAGCGAAAUUCCUUGUCGGGUAAGUUCCGACCUGCACGAAUGGCAUAAUGAUGGCCAGGCUGUCUCCACCCGAGACUCAGUGAAAUUGAAAUCGCCGUGAAGAUGCGGUGUACCCGCGGCUAGACGGAAAGACCCCGUGAACCUUUACUAUAGCUUGACACUGAACAUUGAAUUUUGAUGUGUAGGAUAGGUGGGAGACUUAGAAGUAGGAACGCCAGUUUCUAUGGAGUCAUCCUUGAAAUACCACCCUUUAACGUUUGAUGUUCUAACGAAGAUUGCGGAACGCGGUCUCGGACAGUGUCUGGUGGGUAGUUUGACUGGGGCGGUCUCCUCCCAAAGCGUAACGGAGGAGCACGAAGGUUUGCUAAUCACGGUCGGACAUCGUGAGGUUAGUGCAAUGGUAUAAGCAAGCUUAACUGCGAGACAGACAAGUCGAGCAGGUACGAAAGUAGGUCAUAGUGAUCCGGUGGUUCUGAAUGGAAGGGCCAUCGCUCAACGGAUAAAAGGUACUCCGGGGAUAACAGGCUGAUACCGCCCAAGAGUUCAUAUCGACGGCGGUGUUUGGCACCUCGAUGUCGGCUCAUCACAUCCUGGGGCUGAAGUAGGUCCCAAGGGUAUGGCUGUUCGCCAUUUAAAGUGGUACGCGAGCUGGGUUUAGAACGUCGUGAGACAGUUCGGUCCCUAUCUGCCGUGGGCGUAGGAGAAUUGGUUGGGGCUGCUCCUAGUACGAGAGGACCGGAGUGGACGCACCACUGGUGUUCCGGUUGUGUCGCCAGACGCAUUGCCGGGUAGCUAAGUGCGGAAGAGAUAAGUGCUGAAAGCAUCUAAGCACGAAACUUGCCAAGAGAUGAGUUCUCCCAAUCUAAGAGAUAGUAAGGGUUGUUGUAGACUACGACGUAGAUAGGUCUGGUGUGUAAGUGUAGUGAUACAUUGAGCUAACAGAUACUAAUUGCCCGAGAGGCUUAACUAU
RNAcentral lists this ribosomal RNA (2897 nucleotides) under Haemophilus influenzae. RNAcentral's name for it is "23s_rRNA". It matches the Rfam family "Bacterial large subunit ribosomal RNA". The record is from RNAcentral. Lineage: Bacteria; Pseudomonadati; Pseudomonadota; Gammaproteobacteria; Pasteurellales; Pasteurellaceae.